CAGUAGCCACGGUAAUACGAAGGGGGCUAGCGUUGCUCGGAAUUACUGGGCGUAAAGGGAGCGUAGGCGGAUCGUUUAGUCAGGGGUGAAAUCCCGGGGCUCAACCUCGGAACUGCCUUUGAUACUGGCGAUCUUGAGUAUGGGAGAGGUGUGUGGAACUCCGAGUGUAGAGGUGAAAUACGUAGAUAUUCGGAAGAACACCAGUGGCGAAGGCGACACACUGGCCCAUUACUGACGCUGAGGCUCGAAAGCGUGGGGAGCAAACAGGAUUAGAUACCCGCGUAGUCCCUGUCUCUUAUAC
This 301-nucleotide ribosomal RNA is filed under the name uncultured bacterium. RNAcentral's name for it is "partial 16S ribosomal RNA". It matches the Rfam family "Bacterial small subunit ribosomal RNA", at positions 509 to 807 of the family's 1533-position model. The record is from RNAcentral.